Oxyura jamaicensis (ruddy duck) is the source of this 1457-nucleotide long non-coding RNA. RefSeq lists it as uncharacterized. The transcript is spliced from 3 exons. NCBI's taxonomy places the organism in Eukaryota, Metazoa, Chordata, Aves, Anseriformes, Anatidae. The record is from RefSeq and is a predicted model, not a curated record.
CAUGUUUUAAUACUUGGAGUCUUUCCAGUUUGAAGAUCUUUCUGGCAUACUCUGGAACAUUACUUUUUCUUAUUCCCAUAAACAUAGCUGAAUGUUCAUAAAGUCUUUAUAACAAGUGCUCUGAAGCUGCCAAAUCAAGCAUUUAGAUGGGGAGAGGAAGAGUGUUUCAGAGGUUAGAAAUGUUUAGAGGUAACAAAUAGUGAAAACAGCAAUAGGAUAGUGAAGCAACCUUGCAAAUACAUUUGUCUGAUGAGUUUAUAUUAUAUAUCUCAGAGGUGUAUAGAGGUAGCUGAUUCUUAAUAUGAUAGCAGAUGAAAUUCAGUUUUGACAACUGGACAAUGAUAAUAGAGCAAUUUAAAGUUCUUGUGGUGGUGAUGUAUUGUGAAUGAGUCAUGAUUACUCAAGCAUGAAAACAUCUGUUGUGUACACUGGUAAUCAAAAAGGCAAGGACGGUGUAAAGCUCUUACAAAGAAAGGGAUGAUAAACAUAAUUGCAGGUAUCCCAGUGAUAUUGUAUGCAUAAUUGGCAUGCCAUUUCUUGAACACCUUGUAGAAUGUUCUUAUUCUACCCAGAUACUGUUUGAGGGAAAAAAAAAAAAAAAUCUAAUAAUUUCAGACAUGGAAAGGUUCCAAGCUGACGGAUAAUAAACUGAAUAGAUCUUUUUAGUUUAGCAAAGGAUGUGAAGAAAAUGAUAUCUUAUCUAACUCAUCCACAUCUGAAAAAUAUUACUAUUUCCAAUAAGAAGAAUUCACAGCUCACAGCUUCAAGGUGUGAUAUCCAUGGAGGGUUCUCUGAGGACUUUGCCACUGUUAACCUGCUUUAUGUAGAUUUUUCUUGGACUCAGUGAUGGGAAAUCUUUACUAAACAGAGAAAGAAGUGGGAGGAGGAGGAGGCCAGAUGGGAGAUUGCCAGUUGGACCAGAGCACAAAAAGCAAGAAAAAGCAAGGUGCUGUCCUGAUGACCGUGAGGUCUUUUCAUCACCAGUUGUUCCCUCCAAAUAAAGGAAAAUAGUCUUAAAGACAUUUUUUUUGUUUGUUUUUUUUCAUCAUUGGGUUAGCAAUUUGUGACUGACUGCUGCAACAUGUGGCUGGUGCCCUUUGUUGAAGACUAGCUGAUUGUUGGGGGCAUUAUAUUCUUGUAAACAGUUUUCAGCUGCCUGUUCCAUGAACCAGCCGCCUUCCCCUGAUGAUUAAUUGAGCCAUUAUUCCUGCUAAGUGCUGCUGCUGUUUUGUCAUUCCUGAAUAAGACACGUUCUCUGUUCUCGUGUUUGCAGUGGUUUUGGUCGUGUGCCAACUUUUUGAAGAGGGUUUGAUCUGCGAUUCGAAAUACUUGGCGUUUCCUAAGUAAUUGGAUGAUUUUUGAGACUCAGGCUGUGCAGAGCUUUCAAUUUUCAGAUAUUUUAUAUUUUCCAAGGAUUACAUUACAGGCUAUAGUGCUGACAUGUUUUCAGGAGCAAA